UUUCGCAAUGCCCGAAAGGGUGGCGGAGCGACGCCGCGUGAGUGAGGAAGGCCUUCGGGUUGUAAAGCUCUGUCAGGAGUUAAGAAAUAUAAGUGUGCUAAUACCACAUUUAUUUGACAAAAGCUCCAAAGGAAGCCACGGCUAACUCUGUGCCAGCAGCCGCGGUAAUACAGAGGUGGCAAGCGUUGUUCGGAAUUAUUGGGCGUAAAGAGCACGUAGGUGGGUUUGUAAGUCAGAUGUGAAAGCCUUCUGUUCAACGGAAGAAUUGCAUCUGAAACUGCGAGUCUUGAGUGUAGGAGGGGAGAAUGGAACUUCCGGUGGAGCGGUGAAAUGCGUAGAUAUCAGAAGGAACGCCGGCGGCGAAAGCGAUUCUCUGGCCUAUUACUGACACUCAGUGUGCGAAAGCUAGGGGAGCAAACGGGAUUAGAUACCCCGGUAGUCCUAGCUGUAAACGAUGGGCACUAAGUAGAGGGGUUUUA
This 479-nucleotide ribosomal RNA is filed under the name uncultured anaerobic ammonium-oxidizing bacterium. Its description in RNAcentral is "bacterial SSU rRNA". It matches the Rfam family "Bacterial small subunit ribosomal RNA", at positions 364 to 833 of the family's 1533-position model. The record is from RNAcentral.